GACGAACGCUGGCGGCGUGCUUAACACAUGCAAGUCGAACGGAAAGGCCCUGCUUUUGUGGGGUGCUCGAGUGGCGAACGGGUGAGUAACACGUGAGUAACCUGCCCUUGACUUUGGGAUAACUUCAGGAAACUGGGGCUAAUACCGGAUAGGAGCUCCUGCUGCAUGGUGGGGGUUGGAAAGUUUCGGCGGUUGGGGAUGGACUCGCGGCUUAUCAGCUUGUUGGUGGGGUAGUGGCUUACCAAGGCUUUGACGGGUAGCCGGCCUGAGAGGGUGACCGGCCACAUUGGGCCUGAGAUACGGCCCAGACUCGUACGGGAGGCAGCAGUGGGGAAUAUUGCACAAUGGGCGGAAGCCUGAUGCAGCAACGCCGCGUGCGGGAUGACGGCCUUCGGGUUGUAAACCGCUUUCGCCUGUGACGAAGCGUGAGUGACGGUAAUGGGUAAAGAAGCACCGGCUAACUACGU
RNAcentral lists this ribosomal RNA (467 nucleotides) under uncultured bacterium. RNAcentral describes it as "partial 16S ribosomal RNA". It matches the Rfam family "Bacterial small subunit ribosomal RNA", at positions 28 to 506 of the family's 1533-position model. The record is from RNAcentral.